Molecule: ribosomal RNA, 253 nt
Filed under: uncultured bacterium
Lineage: Bacteria
Description: partial 16S ribosomal RNA
Rfam family: Bacterial small subunit ribosomal RNA
Source: RNAcentral
UACGUAGGGAGCAAGCGUUGUCCGGAAUCAUUGGGCGUAAAGAGCGCGUAGGUGGCCAUUUAAGUCCGCUGUGAAAGUCAAAGGCUCAACCUUUGAAAGCCGGUGGAUACUGGAUGGCUAGAGUACGGAAGAGGCGAGUGGAAUUCCUGGUGUAGCGGUGGAAUGCGCAGAUAUCGGGAGGAACACCGGUGGCGAAGGCGGUUCUCUGGGCCUUACCUGACGCUGAGGAGCGAAAGCGUGGGGAGCGAACAGG